This is a long non-coding RNA of Mobula hypostoma (lesser devil ray), 450 nucleotides long. RefSeq lists it as uncharacterized. The record is from RefSeq and is a predicted model, not a curated record. NCBI's taxonomy places the organism in Eukaryota, Metazoa, Chordata, Chondrichthyes, Myliobatiformes, Myliobatidae. The transcript has 3 exons.
UGUUACUCCAUUAUGCUGCAUAUUCGUAUUAUGACGCAGUUUCGUUUUAAAACACAGUUUUACUUUCUAUUGUAAGGUAAAAUCAUUGUGCUGGCAGUUUCACCAAUUGCUGCCAGCUUUGUUGGUGUAUCUUUGAUUUACCUUUACAGUAGUAUUGGAGAGUGAAGACCUUACUAAAGGAUGGGAAUCUGAAGGAUUGGAAUAAAGUUGGAGUUCCAGCAGUUUAAUGAAGAAUCGACUUAAUUGAGGAUUCAUUCAGAAUAUGGUGACCUGUAUCUGAGAUAACUCCUGCAAGAGCAGUUCCGCAGUGCAACCUUCAAUGGGACUCUGGAAUCAACAGCCACAGCAAAUGUUCCUGAAUGAUCUAAGAAAUGUACAGGAUGCUACAGGACCUCUGAAGGAUUAAAUCAUGCAGCUGAUCAGAAAUUUGGAGUCCUGGUAAAGGAAAAG